Molecule: ribosomal RNA, 473 nt
Filed under: uncultured archaeon
Lineage: Archaea
Description: bacterial SSU rRNA
Rfam family: Archaeal small subunit ribosomal RNA
Source: RNAcentral
UAAUGACUCAAACCUAUAUGGCCCCUGGAUUGGACUGCGGCCGAUCAGGCUGUUGGUGAGGUAAUGGCCCACCAAACCUGUAACCGGUACGGGCUCUGAGAGGAGGAGCCCGGAGAUGGGCACUGAGACAAGGGCCCAGGCCCUAUGGGGCGCAGCAGGCGCGAAACCUCUGCAAUAGGCGAAAGCCUGACAGGGUUACUCUGAGUGAUCUCCGUUAAGGAGAUCUUUUGGCACCUCUAAAAAUGGUGCAGAAUAAGGGGUGGGCAAGUCUGGUGUCAGCCGCCGCGGUAAUACCAGCACCCCGAGUGGUCGGGACGUUUAUUGGGCCUAAAGCAUCCGUAGCCGGUUCUACAAGUCUUCCGUUAAAUCCAGCUGCUUAACAGAUGGGCUGCGGAAGAUACUAUGGAGCUAGGAGGCGGGAGAGGCAAGCGGUACUCGAUGGGUAGGGGUAAAAUCCGUUGAUCCAUUGAAGA